Molecule: ribosomal RNA, 499 nt
Filed under: uncultured bacterium
Lineage: Bacteria
Description: partial 16S ribosomal RNA
Rfam family: Bacterial small subunit ribosomal RNA
Source: RNAcentral
ACUCAAAUGAAUUGACGGGGACCCGCACAAGCGGUGGAUGAUGUGGAUUAAUUCGACGCAACGCGAAAAACCUUACCUACCCUUGACAUGUCCGGAAUCCUGUAGAGAUAUGGGAGUGCCCGAAAGGGAGCCGGAACACAGGUGCUGCAUGGCUGUCGUCAGCUCGUGUCGUGAGAUGUUGGGUUAAGUCCCGCAACGAGCGCAACCCUUGUCAUUAAUUGCCAUCAUUCAGUUGGGCACUUUAAUGAGACUGCCGGUGACAAACCGGAGGAAGGUGGGGAUGACGUCAAGUCCUCAUGGCCCUUAUGGGUAGGGCUUCACACGUCAUACAAUGGUCGGUACAGAGGGUUGCCAAGCCGCGAGGCGGAGCCAAUCCCAGAAAGCCGAUCGUAGUCCGGAUUGCAGUCUGCAACUCGACUGCAUGAAGUCGGAAUCGCUAGUAAUCGCGGAUCAGCAUGUCGCGGUGAAUACGUUCCCGGGUCUUGCACACACCGCCCGU